This 241-nucleotide ribosomal RNA is filed under the name uncultured bacterium. RNAcentral's name for it is "partial 16S ribosomal RNA". It matches the Rfam family "Bacterial small subunit ribosomal RNA", at positions 113 to 354 of the family's 1533-position model. The record is from RNAcentral.
CGACGUGAGGAACCUGCCUUUCAGAGGGGGACAACAGUUGGAAACGACUGCUAAUACCGCAUAAUACGCGGGUGUCGCAUGGCAUCUGCGUCAAAGAUUUAUCGCUGAAAGAUGGCCUCGCGUCUGAUUAGCUAGUUGGUGAGGUAACGGCCCACCAAGGCGACGAUCAGUAGCCGGACUGAGAGGUUGGCCGGCCACAUUGGGACUGAGAUACGGCCCAGACUCCUACGGAAGGCAGCAG